RNAcentral lists this long non-coding RNA (294 nucleotides) under Capsicum annuum. RNAcentral describes it as "long non-coding RNA (CANN_LNC000568)". The record is from RNAcentral. Lineage: Eukaryota; Viridiplantae; Streptophyta; Magnoliopsida; Solanales; Solanaceae.
UUGGCUCUGACGUUUUAAUUCGUACUCCCUCCGUCUCAAAUUACCCGUCCCAAAUUGAGAUGCCACAUUGAUUAAGAAAAAUAAUUAAUAACAUGUCUAGUUUACCAUAACCCACUGAUCAGUUGGUGGGACAGAAGACAUAUUUAAAAUAACCAUUGUUUGCUAUUCAAUCGAAAUUUCAUAAGAGAAGAAAGCUUUUAACACCGGUCGGCGUAUAGUCCCCCUAUUAAAUGAUGUUUUCAUUUUAAUUUGAAGAAAAAAUGAUUAAUGCAAAGGGUAAAACAUGGAUUUUUU